This 459-nucleotide ribosomal RNA is filed under the name uncultured bacterium. Its description in RNAcentral is "partial 16S ribosomal RNA". It matches the Rfam family "Bacterial small subunit ribosomal RNA", at positions 338 to 795 of the family's 1533-position model. The record is from RNAcentral.
CCUACGGGCGACAGCAGUGAGGAAUAUUGGUCAAUGGGCGGAAGCCUGAACCAGCCAAGUAGCGUGCGGGAUGAAGGCUCUACGGGUCGUAAACCGCUUUUGCACGGGGAUAACACCCUCCACUUGUGGAGGUCUGCAGGUACCGUUCGAAUAAGGGCCGGCUAAUUCUGUGCCAGAAGCCGCGGUAAUACGGAAGGCCCGAGCGUUAUCCGGAUUUAUUGGGCGUAAAGGGAGCGUAGGCGGGCGUUCAAGUCAGCUGUAAAAGCGCGCGGCUCAAACACGCCCCGCAGUUGAAACUGGGCGGCUUGAGUUCACAACAGGCAGGCGGAAUUCGUGGUGUAGCGGUGAAAUGCAUAGAUAUCACGAGGAACCCCGAUUGCGAAGGCAGCCUGCCGGGGUGCGACUGACGCUGAGGCUCGAAGGUGCGGGUAUCAAACAGGAUUAGAUACCCUUGUAGUC